UGGAUCCAGACUCUGAUCAUGGCUCAGGAUGAACGCUGGCGGCGUGCUUAACACAUGCAAGUCGAACGAAGCACUCUAUUUGAUUUUCUUCGGAAAUGAAGAUUUUGUGACUGAGUGGCGGACGGGUGAGUAACGCGUGGGUAACCUGCCUCAUACAGGGGGAUAACAGUUGGAAACGACUGCUAAUACCGCAUAAGCGCACAGGAUCGCAUGAUCCGGUGUGAAAAACUCCGGUGGUAUGGGAUGGACCCGCGUCUGAUUAGCCAGUUGGCAGGGUAACGGCCUACCAAAGCGACGAUCAGUAGCCGACCUGAGAGGGUGACCGGCCGCAUUGGGACUGAGACACGGCCCAAACUCCUACGGGAGGCAGCAGUGGGGAAUAUUGCACAAUGGGGGAAACCCUGAUGCAGCGACGCCGCGUGAGCGAAGAAGUAUUUCGGUAUGUAAAGCUCUAUCAGCAGGGAAGAAGAAUGACGGUACCUGACUAAGAAGCACCGGCUAAAUACGUGCCAGCAGCCGCGGUAAUACGUAUGGUGCAAGCGUUAUCCGGAUUUACUG
RNAcentral lists this ribosomal RNA (558 nucleotides) under uncultured Bacillota bacterium. RNAcentral describes it as "bacterial SSU rRNA". It matches the Rfam family "Bacterial small subunit ribosomal RNA", at positions 1 to 556 of the family's 1533-position model. Lineage: Bacteria; Bacillati; Bacillota. The record is from RNAcentral.